This 253-nucleotide ribosomal RNA is filed under the name uncultured bacterium. Its description in RNAcentral is "partial 16S ribosomal RNA". It matches the Rfam family "Bacterial small subunit ribosomal RNA", at positions 524 to 776 of the family's 1533-position model. The record is from RNAcentral.
UACAGAGACCCCGAGCAUUAUCCGGAUUUAUUGGGCGUAAAGCGUUCGUAGGUGGCUUUGUAAGUCAUUUGUUAAAUCUUCAUGCUCAACAUGGAGGCUGCAGGUGAUACUGUAAGGCUCGAGUACGGGAGAGGCAUAUGGAAUGCCCGGUGUAGCGGUAAAAUGCGUUAAUAUCGGGUAGAACACCAAAGGCGAAAGCAAUAUGCUGGAACGUCACUGACACUCAAGAACGAAAGCGUGGGGAGCGAAAGGG